Molecule: ribosomal RNA, 2893 nt
Filed under: Escherichia coli
Lineage: Bacteria; Pseudomonadati; Pseudomonadota; Gammaproteobacteria; Enterobacterales; Enterobacteriaceae
Description: bacterial LSU rRNA
Rfam family: Bacterial large subunit ribosomal RNA
Source: RNAcentral
ACUAAGCGUACACGGUGGAUGCCCUGGCAGUCAGAGGCGAUGAAGGACGUGCUAAUCUGCGAUAAGCGUCGGUGAGGUGAUAUGAACCGUUAUAACCGGCGAUUUCCGAAUGGGGAAACCCAGUGUGUUUCGACACACUAUCAUUAACUGAAUCCAUAGGUUAAUGAGGCGAACCGGGGGAACUGAAACAUCUAAGUACCCCGAGGAAAAGAAAUCAACCGAGAUUCCCCCAGUAGCGGCGAGCGAACGGGGAGGAGCCCAGAGCCUGAAUCAGUGUGUGUGUUAGUGGAAGCGUCUGGAAAGGCGCGCGAUACAGGGUGACAGCCCCGUACACAAAAAUGCACAUAUUGUGAGCUCGAUGAGUAGGGCGGGACACGUGGUAUCCUGUCUGAAUAUGGGGGGACCAUCCUCCAAGGCUAAAUACUCCUGACUGACCGAUAGUGAACCAGUACCGUGAGGGAAAGGCGAAAAGAACCCCGGCGAGGGGAGUGAAAAAGAACCUGAAACCGUGUACGUACAAGCAGUGGGAGCCUCUUUAUGGGGUGACUGCGUACCUUUUGUAUAAUGGGUCAGCGACUUAUAUUCUGUAGCAAGGUUAACCGAAUAGGGGAGCCGAAGGGAAACCGAGUCUUAACUGGGCGUUAAGUUGCAGGGUAUAGACCCGAAACCCGGUGAUCUAGCCAUGGGCAGGUUGAAGGUUGGGUAACACUAACUGGAGGACCGAACCGACUAAUGUUGAAAAAUUAGCGGAUGACUUGUGGCUGGGGGUGAAAGGCCAAUCAAACCGGGAGAUAGCUGGUUCUCCCCGAAAGCUAUUUAGGUAGCGCCUCGUGAAUUCAUCUCCGGGGGUAGAGCACUGUUUCGGCAAGGGGGUCAUCCCGACUUACCAACCCGAUGCAAACUGCGAAUACCGGAGAAUGUUAUCACGGGAGACACACGGCGGGUGCUAACGUCCGUCGUGAAGAGGGAAACAACCCAGACCGCCAGCUAAGGUCCCAAAGUCAUGGUUAAGUGGGAAACGAUGUGGGAAGGCCCAGACAGCCAGGAUGUUGGCUUAGAAGCAGCCAUCAUUUAAAGAAAGCGUAAUAGCUCACUGGUCGAGUCGGCCUGCGCGGAAGAUGUAACGGGGCUAAACCAUGCACCGAAGCUGCGGCAGCGACACUAUGUGUUGUUGGGUAGGGGAGCGUUCUGUAAGCCUGUGAAGGUGGCCUGUGAGGGUUGCUGGAGGUAUCAGAAGUGCGAAUGCUGACAUAAGUAACGAUAAAGCGGGUGAAAAGCCCGCUCGCCGGAAGACCAAGGGUUCCUGUCCAACGUUAAUCGGGGCAGGGUGAGUCGACCCCUAAGGCGAGGCCGAAAGGCGUAGUCGAUGGGAAACAGGUUAAUAUUCCUGUACUUGGUGUUACUGCGAAGGGGGGACGGAGAAGGCUAUGUUGGCCGGGCGACGGUUGUCCCGGUUUAAGCGUGUAGGCUGGUUUUCCAGGCAAAUCCGGAAAACCAAGGCUGAGGCGUGAUGACGAGGCACUACGGUGCUGAAGCGACAAAUGCCCUGCUUCCAGGAAAAGCCUCUAAGCAUCAGGUAACAUCAAAUCGUACCCCAAACCGACACAGGUGGUCAGGUAGAGAAUACCAAGGCGCUUGAGAGAACUCGGGUGAAGGAACUAGGCAAAAUGGUGCCGUAACUUCGGGAGAAGGCACGCUGAUAUGUAGGUGAAGCGACUUGCUCGUGGAGCUGAAAUCAGUCGAAGAUACCAGCUGGCUGCAACUGUUUAUUAAAAACACAGCACUGUGCAAACACGAAAGUGGACGUAUACGGUGUGACGCCUGCCCGGUGCCGGAAGGUUAAUUGAUGGGGUUAGCGGUAACGCGAAGCUCUUGAUCGAAGCCCCGGUAAACGGCGGCCGUAACUAUAACGGUCCUAAGGUAGCGAAAUUCCUUGUCGGGUAAGUUCCGACCUGCACGAAUGGCGUAAUGAUGGCCAGGCUGUCUCCACCCGAGACUCAGUGAAAUUGAACUCGCUGUGAAGAUGCAGUGUACCCGCGGCAAGACGGAAAGACCCCGUGAACCUUUACUAUAGCUUGACACUGAACAUUGAGCCUUGAUGUGUAGGAUAGGUGGGAGGCUUUGAAGUGUGGACGCCAGUCUGCAUGGAGCCGACCUUGAAAUACCACCCUUUAAUGUUUGAUGUUCUAACGUUGGCCCGUAAUCCGGGUUGCGGACAGUGUCUGGUGGGUAGUUUGACUGGGGCGGUCUCCUCCUAAAGAGUAACGGAGGAGCACGAAGGUUGGCUAAUCCUGGUCGGACAUCAGGAGGUUAGUGCAAUGGCAUAAGCCAGCUUGACUGCGAGCGUGACGGCGCGAGCAGGUGCGAAAGCAGGUCAUAGUGAUCCGGUGGUUCUGAAUGGAAGGGCCAUCGCUCAACGGAUAAAAGGUACUCCGGGGAUAACAGGCUGAUACCGCCCAAGAGUUCAUAUCGACGGCGGUGUUUGGCACCUCGAUGUCGGCUCAUCACAUCCUGGGGCUGAAGUAGGUCCCAAGGGUAUGGCUGUUCGCCAUUUAAAGUGGUACGCGAGCUGGGUUUAGAACGUCGUGAGACAGUUCGGUCCCUAUCUGCCGUGGGCGCUGGAGAACUGAGGGGGGCUGCUCCUAGUACGAGAGGACCGGAGUGGACGCAUCACUGGUGUUCGGGUUGUCAUGCCAAUGGCACUGCCCGGUAGCUAAAUGCGGAAGAGAUAAGUGCUGAAAGCAUCUAAGCACGAAACUUGCCCCGAGAUGAGUUCUCCCUGAGACUUAGAGUCUCCUGAAGGAACGUUGAAGACGACGACGUUGAUAGGCCGGGUGUGUAAGCGCAGCGAUGCGUUGAGCUAACCGGUACUAAUGAACCGUGAGGCUUNNNN